UACAGAGGUCUCAAGCGUUGUCCGGAAUCACUGGGCGUAAAGGGCGCGUAGGCGGCCCGUUAAGUCAGUGGUGAAAUCCCAGGGCUCAACCCUGGAACUGCCAUUGAUACUGACGGGCUUGAGUUCGGUUAAGGCGGGCGGAACUGGUGGUGUAGCGGUGAAAUGCAUAGAUACCACCAAGAACCCCGAUUGCGUAGGCAGCUCGCUGAGCCGAAACUGACGCUGAGGCACGAAAGCGUGGGGAGCGAACAGG
This 253-nucleotide ribosomal RNA is filed under the name uncultured bacterium. RNAcentral's name for it is "partial 16S ribosomal RNA". It matches the Rfam family "Bacterial small subunit ribosomal RNA", at positions 524 to 776 of the family's 1533-position model. The record is from RNAcentral.